AAGAUUAUUUGUAGAUCAGUGAUUCUGCUCCUCACUUUGCUCAAGCUGAUCCUCUCCAACUGACUCAAUCUCUGGUCAUCGGAAGUUGUAAAAGUGGGGCAAUUACGGGAAGUUAAAGGGGAGAGUCAAUGAAACAAACCAUGGAAGUAUAGAGUACCACAUUAUGAGUCAUAAUACCCAUAAAACCUAGCGAUCAAACAAGGAAAUUGUUCCAAUCGCUUUUCUAACUUUUCCCCAUAUGGGAUUUUAGAAACACUUGUAAGGGUUGUGUUUUGUGUAGGCUUACCCUGGCAUGAAGUUUUUGUUAACUGUGUAAAUCUCUCUCGGACAAUGUAAUAUUAAUAUAUUCAUCUGUAUUUACCCCCCCAAAAAUAAAAUGCUAAUUUGCUGCUAAUGUGGCUAUCAUAAAGAACUACAAAUGCCAUGAUGAUCUGGACGAGACUGCCGAAUAGAGGCAAAGGCUGUGCCCAUGGAGUGUGACCCCGCGGAGGCCUGUACAUUAAUCAUGAUGUGGAGAGAGGGCCCCAGACAAGCCUGGGACAUUCCUGGGACAGCUUGCCGCUGGGCAGGUGAAGCAGCCAGUCACGCCGACACUGCUGGGAGGGCAAGGACAAUCGUCCAGUCAAAAAGAGAACACAGUCGGCCUGUGUGGGCUCUAGUAGUGAAGAUCCUACUCUGUUCACCCUUGCCUGGCUGCCCGCUGCAUGGACCCACCGCACUCAGAAGAAUGUGUCCAGUCAUCUCGCCACUGAAAAGGCCACAUGUGCAACUAUCAAGAUUCCUUAAUACAGUCGGAAGAAAUGUCACUAUUAUGCAAACAUAUUGCUGCUUUAUGGACUACUGGCUGAACUGUACAGUACACUGUCUCGCUUAUGUUGAUGGAAUAAUGUGUUGAUUUUUAGAAAAUGUAUUUCUGAAUUGUGUUAUGGUUCUUAAAGAUCCACUUCGGCCAUUUUUAUCUCAAUAUCAAAUCAUUCCUGAAUAACAAUCAAGUACCUUACUGUGAUUUGUUUUCAUUUAAAAUGGUCAAAAAGAAACAAAAAUGUGUUCUUUGCAAAGAGAUAUUUCUCAAGCAAGAAUUUUGUUAGGACUGUCUGGGAGUGGUCUGGGUGGAGAGGGAAAACUGAAAACUAGCUGUUAUUGGCAGUGAGGUUUGGAACUCUCUUUCUUACUUGUCUAUUAACUAAUUUACCGCCUGGUGAUGUCAGCAGGCAGGCCAAAACGCCAUCCCACCAAAACACGAUUCAAUUUCAGGCAGUCUUUUCAAACAGCUUACACUAAAAGGGGUAUUAUCAUAAUUGUCACAAUUUCACAGUAUUAUUCCAAUCUCAGUGUGGAAAUAUAAAUCAAAUCAAAUCAAAUGUAUUUGUCACAUACACAUGGUUAGCAGAUGUUAAUGCGAGUGUAGCGAAAUGCUUGUGCUUCUAGUUCCGACAAUGCAGUAAUAACCAACGAGUAAUCUAACCUAACAAUUCCAAAACUACUACCUUAUACACACAAGUGUAAAGGGAUAAAGAAUAUGUACAUAAAGAUAUAUGAAUGAGUGAUGGUACAGAACGGCAUAGGCAAGAUGCAGUAGAUGGUAUCGAGCACAGUAUUUGAGAUGAGUAAUGUAGGGUAUGUAAACAAAGUGGCAUAGUUAAAGUGGCUAGUGAUACAUGUAUUACAUAAAGAUGCAGUAGUUGAUAUAGAGUACAGUAUAAACAUAUACAAAUGAGAUGAGUAAGGGUAUGUAAACAUUAUAUUAAGUAGCAUUGUUUAAAGUGGCUAGUGAUAUAUUUUACAUCAAUUUCCAUCAAUUCCCAUUAUUAAAGUGGCUGGAGUUGAGUCAGUGUGUUGGCAGCAGCCACUCAAUGUUAGUGGUGGCUGUUUAACAGUCUAAAACACAGGACAAUCAUGUUUUUGACUACUCUGGGCAUUUAACAAUUAAUUCUGUGUUAUUUUGACACAAUUCACUCUUAAUGUAUCUGUAGCCUAGGCAGGGUAGCCUAGUGGUUAGAGCGUUGGACCGAAAGGUUGCAAGUUCAAAUCCCAGAGCUGACAAGGUACAAAUAUGUUGUUCUGCCCCUGAACAGGCAGUUAACCCACUGUUCCUAGGCUGUCAUUGAAAAUAAGAAUUUGUUCUUAACUGACUUGCCUAGUAAAAUAAAGGUAAUAAUAUAUAUAUAUAUCACAUUUAAAAACAGUUGUAAUUUGAAACUGGUUGUAUAAAACUAUAACUAACCCAGUGACUUUCUAACAUACUCUGAGCUUUUGCAUAUCCAUCUCCUUUGUUGUCCUCUGUGAAAGUUGUGUGUACUUACUACUUAUUGGUAGGCUAGUAUUUCUACUAAUUUUAUAGUAUAUUCUGGUUAGUGUAUGUGUGUGGAGGAGGGCCCAGAAAUGGCAGGCAAAGCUACUGGACUGAUAAUGAUUUAAGUGUUACACUCUCUUGUUGAUUCUUACCUAAAUGAAAAGUGCUGUGAAUGGAUCCCCUAAAAUCUAGAAUUGGCCUGUUGUAGUUUUGGCUGGGGGCUGUCUGUAGGAGGGUAGGGAGCACAGAGGGAACACAGAAGGUGCACAGAGGGCCUGGUGCUGCUGGGAGAGAGAGGGGAGCAGUUUGUGGUUCUGAGGCCAGUGGGUCCAGGGACCCUACUGGGGAACCAUACACCUGGCUGUCUGUUCUCAACUCAUUUGUAUAAUGCUGGAUCAUGGAUGAAAUUGAGUGUUCGGGAGUGGGAUUGAAGUUUUAAUUCUGGCUCUGUGCUUUGGGGCAGCUGUUCUGCCUUUCCCCUUCCAAUCAAUUAGGGCAGAGACCGCAGAGCCAUGUUGGAGCAAAGGCCUGCUUUAGCUGUGGCUGGCUGUCGUCUAGCUACCUGGGAGAAGUACUGCUGCCACCAUGCUGAAUAGGAAUAAAACAAAGGAAUUUACUGUCCAGUUGUGCUUGCUACUGUUUGUCCUCUAAUCAAUAAAUAUGUUGUGAUUAUACGCUCGAGUGGACAGAGGAGGAAUGUCAGUGAAACGAGGCAAAGCAGCCAAGUCUUGAGAAAUCAUAGAAUGUGAUUGCACUGUGCAACAAUAAUAUUGGAAUAGGCGUUUUUCAAUUAGCAGUAUCUGUAGCCUGCAGCUAAAGGAUCAGAUGUUUUUACAACAUGCCACUGUUCCACCAGGCAUCUGUCAGGUGGAAAUGGAAAUGCCUACAACAGCCGAGCGAUUGGCUUCACAUGCAAGAAGACUGACACGCUGCAGAGAGGAAAAGAAGCAUGCAGACUAGACCGCACAAAGCAAUCCUGAUGGGUGGUCUGAGUGUAUGCCCAAGCAGGCCCCACGGGAACCAAACCCACUCUUCUGACUCACUCUGUACUCUGUACUCUCAUUCCAACUCUGCACCUCAGCCAGGUAUGGAUGUGGGAAUGGGGAGUGGAGUCACCUCCGGCUCACACACUUUGCACAGAUGAAAUAGGAGUAUUUAGGUGCAUGUUGUUCAUGCUUAAUGCCUCCAAUAUGCACCAGUCCAACAGAUUCAGGCCAACGGAUGAGUCACAAAGCCUUUGAUGCCGCCAGUGUCACAACCACCGCAUGGUAAUACCCCUCUUUGUUUUGUAAGUGCUGCCCUGGUCAGAACUGGCUGUGUGUGUGCCCGGUUUGUGACUAUGUUUGACCUCUCUUUGGGCCGUGGCUAAUGCAGAGUUUGGGCUCCUGAAUGGGGCCGGGGUCAGUGCCCAGUGACACAUGACCUGCCACGGUUAAUUCCAGCAGAACAAUAGACCCGACCCCAGUCCACAUCUCAUCCCAUUACACCUCCAUGCCAAAUGAAUUGUUUGUUUUUGUGGGCUGCUCUCUCCUGACCUUUCAGCCCACUUGUUUUAAUAACGUUCAGUUUAAACCUGGAAACACAGGAUUCACUCUGCGCUGAACACAGAUGGGCCUUCGAUUGGUUCUCUCAAGGGUCUUCCUUAGUGUCAUGAUGCUGACCAUCUCCUGGGCUGGACUUGACACCCCCAGAGAAAACGCUUCCUGCUUGGGUUCUUCUCAGAGGAUAUUCAAGUGUGAGUGAGGAGGUAUAUCCACUUACUGUGUGGUUCCUGUUUGCUGAUGUACACAGUAAAUACUUGAGAGAGAUAUCUGUGAAUGAUAUGGCUAAUCAAUAAGCCUAAAUGGCCACACAUACCCACUCUAGUUGUCAGUGAUGAAUGACUGGUAGCCAGUGGAACACGUGUGUUUUAAAUAAAGGGGAUGAAUAUCCAUGGCUGAAAGCUGUCCUGGGAGCUUCGAGAAAAAGUAGAGCGAGAGAGGGCAGCUAUUGUGACAGAGGGUUGCAGUGAUACAACAUGAACAAUAUACGAUAACACACCAUACUGGAGGAUAGUUACCCCACAGUGUUCUGUAUUUAGAUCAAUGAUGACCAGAAAUUGUGUUAUCAUUUACACGGUAGAGGCUAGCCUUA
Molecule: long non-coding RNA, 4426 nt
Organism: Oncorhynchus keta (chum salmon)
Lineage: Eukaryota; Metazoa; Chordata; Actinopteri; Salmoniformes; Salmonidae
Exons: 3
Source: RefSeq, a predicted model, not a curated record